AAAGACACGAUCAUACAUGUGCUGUUUUGCUUUAUCAUCUUUCCAUAAAUGUUCAACAGUAAACUCAUCAACACUUCUGAUGGCAUUUCUUUCCUUUGCUAUAAUUUCCUUUUCACAAAGUGGUCUUAAUCUACAGUAGACUCUGAUCUUGCCUUUCAUAUCUUCUAUUAUGUUGAAAUACUUUUUCCUUAGAACUUGUUCUUCCCGGUAAAGUGCUUCCAUUUCUGCCAAUUGAGCCCCUUGCAUUUUCAAGAUGGCAGCAGUUUGUGCAUUUUUUCGAUCAAUAUCCUCUUUCAUUUCUCUCAGCUCCUCAAGCUCCUUCAAAUUAUUCUGCAGCAUUUCUAGUUCCUUGUCUUUAGCUUCAAGACCAGACUGUGCACCAAUCAAGUCAUGUUUGGCCUCUUCUAGUUUCCUUUGAAGUUCAGAGACUUGGAGUUUCAGCCCCUUGCAUUCUUUUUCAAAAUCUUUCUGAAGGCUUUCCAUCUCAUUUGAUUUCUUCUUUUCUAGUCCUAUGACUUUUUCCUCAAGUGAUGCUUUUUCACUCAAAAGCCUCCUCUUUGUUUCUUCUGCA
This 571-nucleotide unclassified non-coding RNA is filed under the name Hevea brasiliensis (rubber tree). The record is from RNAcentral. Lineage: Eukaryota; Viridiplantae; Streptophyta; Magnoliopsida; Malpighiales; Euphorbiaceae.